Molecule: transfer RNA, 73 nt
Filed under: Sediminicola luteus
Lineage: Bacteria; Pseudomonadati; Bacteroidota; Flavobacteriia; Flavobacteriales; Flavobacteriaceae
Rfam family: tRNA
About the family: Transfer RNA (tRNA) molecules are approximately 80 nucleotides in length. Their secondary structure includes four short double-helical elements and three loops (D, anti-codon, and T loops).
Source: Rfam by way of RNAcentral
ACGGGUGUAGCUCAGUUGGUAGAGCGCUGGUCUCCAAAACCAGAUGUCGGGAGUUCGAGUCUCUCCUCCCGUG